RNAcentral lists this ribosomal RNA (378 nucleotides) under uncultured organism. Its description in RNAcentral is "partial 16S ribosomal RNA". It matches the Rfam family "Bacterial small subunit ribosomal RNA", at positions 527 to 897 of the family's 1533-position model. The record is from RNAcentral.
GGAGGGCGCAAGCGUUGUUCGGAAUUACUGGGGGGCGUAAAGCGCGUGUAGGGCGGGCUUGGGCAAGUCGGUUGUGAAAUCCCGAGGCUCAACCUCGGAACUGCAGCCGAAACUGCCCGGCUAGAGUCCUGGAGAGGGUGGCGGAAUUUCCGGUGUAGAGGUGAAAUUCGUAGAUAUCGGAAGGAACACCAGUGGCGAAGGCGGCCACCUGGACGGUGACUGACGCUGAGACGCGAAAGCGUGGGGAGCAAACAGGAUUAGAUACCCUGGUAGUCCACGCCGUAAACGUUGGGUGCUAGGCGUCGGGGGUAUUGACCCCUCCGGUGCCGAAGUUAACGCAUUAAGCACCCCGCCUGGGGAGUACGGCCGCAAGGCUAA